Monomorium pharaonis (pharaoh ant) is the source of this 3522-nucleotide long non-coding RNA. RefSeq lists it as uncharacterized. The transcript has 3 exons. Lineage: Eukaryota; Metazoa; Arthropoda; Insecta; Hymenoptera; Formicidae. The record is from RefSeq and is a predicted model, not a curated record.
GGGGUGGGAGGUUUCGGGGGGGGGGACGAAAGGGGACCAAAACAGGGGCGACGGGAAAGGGGCGAAGCCGAGAGGGUACGGAGUGUAUAAGUGCUCCGCCUGCAGAGACGAGAGAUGAAAGGCGCGCAAUGCGCUCGAGGACACAGAUACAUUUGCCGGCGAGAAUGCUGAAAAAUAAUGAAAAAAAAGUGACGCCGGGAUUGGGCGCGGGGAUAGGCAAAGGCGUACCGAUCGGACAAAUAUCUACAGAACUUUACGACCGAGGUACGGAGGUAUACGAAAUGUGAGUCAGAUUUGUGUUUUCCCGGUGCACCGACCUGGAAAAUCGCUGCUACUCUACUGCUAUCGGACACUAAUUAUGAGAUUUCGAGUGUAUCGAGUAGUGAGGGAUGCUUUCGAAGAAGGACGCGAUCGAUGAUCGAAAAACUGCAAUGUUAUCGUUAAAGAAAACAAGAAGUAAGAUCUUCAGAAAUGUUGAUAAAUGUAAGCUUUACAAAACGUAAACUUUACAGAAAAAUAUACCUUCUAAAGCUGUUAAUUUCAAACAUUUUGUCUUGAAGGGAUAUUUGAAUUGUAGAUAUAGGAAAGAAGAAUUGUUUUUAAUUGAAUUCAAUUAGAAGAAUUAAGUCUCCAAUUAUUGAAAAAUAAGGGAAUUUUAAAGCAAAUUAUCAACAAGAUGUCUCUGAAUUGGCUUUAUAGAGAGAGUUCCAAAUUCUUUUACGCAAUUGAAAUAUAAAAAGGAGAAGACAAAGCAAUUUCACAUUAAUAACAAAACUUUUUUUUUUAACUGUUCUCUCUGUAAAGCCAAUUAAAAAAUAUCGUCUGAUAAAAAAAAGUUGGUAAUUUGCUUAAGAAAGAUGAAAAGUAUACAUCUCUUUCUUUAAUUUAGACAUAUUUCUAGAGUCUACGAAUUGGACGAACAAUAAAUUCGUUGUCUCGUUUCAACCUGGCCGAUGCAAACUCUCUUUAUUCUCGGUCACCGCGCCGAAACGCGUAAAGAUCGCGAAUCCAAUACCAUUAGACCUCGUGCGGAACAUAUCCGCGCGCGGUGAACGCACGGGGCCAAAGUGCGACGGGCGAAUUAUGGGGAUGUACUCGUAGGGCGUCGGAUGUGCCAUGGGAUCACCAUAAGGCGGGAUAUUUCGUGAGGCCGUCUACGUGGCUGACGCCGCCGAUGCGACUGUAUGGGACGCUCGUUUCGCCCGCUGGGAAUUUCGGCGGAUCACCCGUUAUAUAUCCGGGGGGGUUAUCGGGCGAACGACUGGAAAAUAAUUUGCAGUUUCCCCCGCGCUCUCUCGUGGGGAAAAUGACCAGAGACGCGAGAAUAUACGUUCGCGCAAGCUGCCCUUUUCGGUUUCCCGAUGAUUCCUGUAAUUCCCUCCUGUUUGUUAUUUCUGUCUUACUACUAUCGCUGCCGAAUAAUACGCAAGGUUUCACAAAAAUGAAAGUCUUGUGGCCAAGACGCAAGAGCAAAACAAAAGAUAGUCCUGGCGUCUAGAAUUAUCUCUGCUUGGAAACAAGAGCACGUCUUCCGAGAUUCGACUAUCUACUAUUGUAACUGAGAAUAAUCAAAGCCAGAUGUUUGAAGGGUCUUGUAUAACACCGAAUGAUAUCUUGUCGCCGCGAUACCGAAGCGCGAGUUGUAUGUAAUCAGCAGUAUUAGCCCCUGUCGUGAUACGGUAAUUUCCUGAAUUGUCAAACGCGCUGACAGUUUGAUACUGUUACUGGCGCGUAACGCGUAGAUAACUGAACAUGCAGUAUCGCGUAAUGGAAAAAGCGUCGCUGUCAAAACUGCCGUUUGCGUAAUCGCAAUAGUGAUAACAACAUUAUCUAAUUUCAUUAUAAUUCUAUUACUAAUUUUGAUUUGAACUUUCUAUAAAUUCAGAGAAAUAUGAUAACUAAACACAACAGUUUAUUUUUGUAUAUAAUUAUUAAUAAUAUAAAACAAUUAUCUGUACUCUCCAAAACGGAAUCAGUGUAUUGUUACUGAAAGACAGUAAUUAAUCGAAUUAUAAGUAUAGCAUUGUAAAGAUUUCACUGAAAGAAUUAGUAAUAUCAGUAAAAUAUAUAAAAUAGAUAAAUUGGAAAAAAUUUAGGCUCAGAAAAAUUAAGAACACAGCGUAUAACAAUGUUAAAUUAGAGCCAACAUUGAAUGUUUGCAUGUGCCUAAAAAUGUAUUACUUAAAUUAAAAAAAAGUUUAAAUUCUAUAUUUUAGACUAUAUUCAACAUAAUAAAUUACAGAUAAUGAAAUCGAUCACGUAUUACAAAUGAUAAAAUUAAAUGUUACACAUAGAUUACUUGUCAUCACACCGACAGAUGCAAAAGUGAGUGAUACAAGAGAAAGUCAAACAAGAAAAAUAAAAUAAAAGUGCAAAUUGUUAUUGUGUUUAUACUAAAGAUUUGUGAAAUAUAUUAAUAUAGAUUCUUAAUAAAAUUCUUUUGCCUUUCCAUUAGUGAUAUUUUUUACUGGUUAAAUUUAAACAAGUACUUAUACAUUACCAUACCAAUUUAACGUAUUAAUUAAAGAAAUAAUAUAAAUAUACACAUGUGUGUAUCGCUCAUAUAAAUAUCUCUGUGUAAUAAACAAGAAAACGAAAAAAUGGCAUGAGACUCGUACGAGACGAUCAGUAUUGUGACAUCUAUUUAAUAUUAGAGGAACGAGGGUAGAUAGAAGUCGCUAUACAAGACAGAUUUUAAUCCUUGCCGUACCAAAGGAAGAAAAGGAACGAUGCUGAAUUGACUUGAAGUCUCUUCGGGCAAGAUGCUUAAUUCCACCUCGUUCUUCUGUAACUACUCUUUGUGAUGUGUGGAUUUUCAAUCACACUUAUGCAAUUUGGAAAUGUCAGUCUGUAAAACGCGCAAAAGUAAUUCCGAGUCUGCAGCAGAAAGGAUUCGAGAUGGUGCGUGAUACGAAGAACAAGGAUUCUAAGGAAUAUCCCGAAGGAGAAUCAAACAGGAUUUUGUCGUCUCGAAAUCGUAUAUCAUUUCAACCGCGACGUCUGUAUCGCCGUCUGUACUGUAGCGACCUGGCGAUAAGCAUCGUUAGAUCCUAGGUUUAUCCAGGCGCGACUAAUUAUGCGAAUAUCACGCAAACCUCCACUAACGAAAACGGAUCAUUAGUGAGAACAUCGAUAUUUUAAUCCACGAUUGCUUCCAAUUAUACGGAAGAUCCCUCUUAUUAAAAGCAGGCAGUGUGCCUGCAUAUAUUCCAGUUACCGUCACAAUAAAAUUAAUUACAUAUCAACUUAAUCGCGAGACUGAGCCAGAGAUGUGUUAGCAUUUACAUUCUAUUGGACACUAAUCAAACCAGAACGUAUCGAUUACUGUGUAUCCAGUGCACCUUCCAUCCACUGAAUAUAUGUACAGAUAUAACGCUUUAUAUACAAAGUUGUCAAUACGUUACACAAUCAAACUUUGUAAGGAUAUAUCUUUUCCCUUUACAACUUGAAAAUAACUAAAAAUAGAGAUUUUUUAAAACAAAUUUAAAGCGUAAAAAAUGUACUAAUCAAUUUACAAUAUAA